Long non-coding RNA from Pezoporus flaviventris, 283 nucleotides. RefSeq lists it as uncharacterized. The transcript is spliced from 3 exons. Lineage: Eukaryota; Metazoa; Chordata; Aves; Psittaciformes; Psittacidae. The record is from RefSeq and is a predicted model, not a curated record.
CCCAUCCCCGAAGACUCUGCGUGCCGGGAUGAUGACGUCACGGAUGACAUCACCGCCGAGGCCCCCAGAAGGGACACCCCAGGCCCCCCCCAGGCGCAGACGCCCUCCCCCGGCUGCCCCCUCGUGUUCUUGGCCCUCGUCUGCCUCCUCCUGGCCCUGCUGCUGCUCGCAGGGGUCUUUGCGGCCGCGCAUUACGUCCGGGUCUUCCUCAUCAGCUCCGCGCCCGUCGGCGAAUCCUUCCCAUGAGCGGGACGAGAAGGGGGGAGGGGUUCCCCCCCCCCCC